CCAAUAGCGUAUAUUAAAGUUGUUGCAGUUAAAAAGCUCGUAGUUGAAUUUUAGGCCUGGCCGGGCGGUCCGUCUUUGGCGAGUACUGUCUUGUUGUCGGGUCUUCCUUCUGGUGAACCAGCAUGUCCUUUAUUGGGUGUGUUGGGGAGCCAGGACCAUUACCUUGAAAAAAUUAGAGUGUUUAAAGCGGGCUAUUGCUUGAAUAGAUUAGCAUGGAAUAAUAGAAUAGGACGUUGUGGUUCUAUUUUGUUGGUUUCUAGGACCACCGUAAUGAUUAAUAGGGAUAGUUGGGGGCAUUAGUAUUCAAUUGUCAGAGGUGAAAUUCUUGGAUUUAUUGAAGACUAACUACUGCGAAAGCAUUUGCCAAGGAUGUUUUCAUUAAUCAAGAACGAAAGUUAGGGGAUCGAAGACGGUCAGAUACCGUCGUAGUCUUAACCAUAAACUAUGCCGACUAGGAAUCGGGCGACGUUAUUCUCAUGACUCGCUCGGCGCCUUAUG
RNAcentral lists this ribosomal RNA (498 nucleotides) under uncultured Glomeromycotina. RNAcentral's name for it is "partial small subunit ribosomal RNA". It matches the Rfam family "Eukaryotic small subunit ribosomal RNA", at positions 591 to 1092 of the family's 1831-position model. The record is from RNAcentral. Lineage: Eukaryota; Fungi; Glomeromycota.